This 52-nucleotide transfer RNA is filed under the name Rhodospirillaceae bacterium. Its description in RNAcentral is "tRNA-Leu". It matches the Rfam family "tRNA", at positions 24 to 71 of the family's 71-position model. Rfam says of the family: Transfer RNA (tRNA) molecules are approximately 80 nucleotides in length. Their secondary structure includes four short double-helical elements and three loops (D, anti-codon, and T loops). Further hydrogen bonds mediate the characteristic L-shaped molecular structure. tRNAs have two regions of fundamental functional importance: the anti-codon, which is responsible for specific mRNA codon recognition, and the 3' end, to which the tRNAs corresponding amino acid is attached (by aminoacyl-tRNA synthetases). tRNAs cope with the degeneracy of the genetic code in two manners: having more than one tRNA (with a specific anti-codon) for a particular amino acid; and 'wobble' base-pairing, i.e. permitting non-standard base-pairing at the 3rd anti-codon position. Lineage: Bacteria; Pseudomonadati; Pseudomonadota; Alphaproteobacteria; Rhodospirillales; Rhodospirillaceae. The record is from RNAcentral.
CGCCGGCCUGUCACGCCGGAGGCCGCGGGUUCAAGUCCCGUCACUCGCGCCA